Molecule: long non-coding RNA, 1315 nt
Filed under: Patiria miniata (bat star)
Lineage: Eukaryota; Metazoa; Echinodermata; Asteroidea; Valvatida; Asterinidae
Description: uncharacterized LOC119743090
Source: RNAcentral
ACACCCUAGUGUCCGCAGGCCCGCAGUGCAUUGCAAACGUACGUCAUUCUUCCAUCUUUCCGCCAUCCUUUUUGCACUGCGCUAUCAGCAACUUGUCGGCGUUGAGGCAAAUCGGGACCGGUGUUACAGUUUUUUUUUAUCAGUUCAUCUGAUCAGAUUUGGAAUAAAACGGUAAUAGACAUGGCAUUCAGGUGGGCUUCAGUAUUUGCAGUUCUGUGCAUGGCUGUCUUCGUCUCGGCACAGGAAGAAGCGACGUUUCGCUGGUCUGAGGUCUCUGCCGGGGUCGGUGGCUGUAUCGGCGGUAUGAUGCUCAUCAUCGGCAUCUCCUUCGUCAUCUACGACUUCACUUGCCGGGACUACUUUUCUGGCAGGGCUGGAGAAUAUUUCAGGGCGGAUGCAGAUGUGGCGGCUGGAAAUUCGACGAAGCUGUAAGCUGAUCGCGUGGAAUUAUUUCUUGUCGCCAAAUGGCAUAGAUGAACGAUUACCAAAAACUCGCUACCUGAUGUACCAAACCUCACCCCGUUUUCUAGUCCAGUACUGUUCUUAUGCCCAAUUUUUUUUUUUAACCAGAUGACGUGUUUUUAUCCGUUUGAUAUGGCUGACUUGUAAAUAUACAUUUUAUUACUCCAUUUAAAACAAUCUGAAACAUUUAAGGGCCAUUUCAGUCUUUCAAAUGUGUUCCCGAAGAAAAUGCAAAAAAGGACAUGAAAUAACAAUUAUAACAAGUCUUAAUUUCGAUAUAUACGUGACUUGUAUAUUACAGUAAAAUAAUACCUUUUGAUAUAAAACGCCGCACACGAUUUUAUACCUGCUGAUCCAAAAAAGUAUUUUAACUUAAAACUUGAUGUAAAUAAUAAGCACAUUAGAGCAGAUUUGGCAAGAUAUUUACAUGUAGAAAGUGGUCGACCAAAUUGUACAUUGCGUGGUCCUUGAGAUAGGGUCUUCCAUUUCAAAUAGAAAAACACUGACGAAACGAAACGCUGAAUAGGCCCAAGUUCACAAGGCAACUAUUGUUGAUUUUUUAAUGUAAAACACCUUUAAUCUCCAGUAAUUUUGUGGUCGUCUUCGAAUGAAUUUUUAAUUAAAUUGCAGUAAUUUCAAUGGUAUAUUUUUUUUACUGACUGGAAUAGAACGUAGUUUAAUGAGACCUUUGCUCCAACUAUAGAAAAUCGGGUCAUGAAGAUAUUGAUGCUUGUAUAUUUAGUUGUGGAGAUAUGUUUUAAUUCUAAUCAUAUUAAUUGUAAUCAUAGUACAUGUAGUUGAAUGUUUUUAAUUGUUUGUCUAAUAAAGUAUAUAUAUAUAAGAUAUAAUGAAA